Oncorhynchus keta (chum salmon) is the source of this 670-nucleotide long non-coding RNA. RefSeq lists it as uncharacterized. The transcript is spliced from 3 exons. NCBI's taxonomy places the organism in Eukaryota, Metazoa, Chordata, Actinopteri, Salmoniformes, Salmonidae. The record is from RefSeq and is a predicted model, not a curated record.
AUAAGGUAUUAGAGGUAGAUAUGUACAUGAAGGCAGGGUAAAGUGACUAGACAUCAGGAUAGAUAAUAAUAAGGUAUUAGAGGUAGAUAUGUACAUGAAGGCAGGGUAAAGUGACUAGGCAUCAGGAUAGAUAAUAAUAAGGUAUUAGAGGUAGAUAUGUACAUGAAGGCAGGGUAAAGUGACUAGUCAUCAGGAUAGAUAAUAAUAAGGUAUUAGAGGUAGAUAUGUACAUGAAGGCAGGGUAAAGUGACUAGUCAUCAGGAUAGAUAAUAAUAAGGUAUUAGAGGUAGAUAUGUACAUGAAGGCAGGGUAAAGUGACUAGUCAUCAGGAUAGAUAAUAAUAAGGUAUUAGAGGUAGAUAUGUACAUGAAGGCAGGGUAAAGUGACAUCAGGAUAGAUAAUAAUAAGGUAUUAGAGGUAGAUAUGUACAUGAAGGCAGGGUAAAGUGACAUCAGGAUAGAUAAUAAUAAGGUAUUAGAGGUAGAUAUGUACAUGAAGGCAGGGUAAAGUGACUAGUCAUCAGGAUAGAUAAUAAUAAGGUAUUAGAGGUAGAUAUGUACAUGAAGGCAGGGUAAAGUGACAUCAGGAUAGAUAAUAAUAAGGUAUUUGAGGUAGAUAUGUACAUGAAGGCAGGGUAAAGUGACUAGACAUCAGGAUAGAUAAUAAUAAG